Molecule: ribosomal RNA, 497 nt
Filed under: uncultured bacterium
Lineage: Bacteria
Description: partial 16S ribosomal RNA
Rfam family: Bacterial small subunit ribosomal RNA
Source: RNAcentral
GAUGAACGCUGGCGGCGUGCCUAAUACAUGCAAGUCGAGCGAACAGACGAGGAGCUUGCUCCUUUGACGUUAGCGGCGGACGGGUGAGUAACACGUGGAUAACCUACCUAUAAGGCUGGGAUAACUUCGGGAAACCGGAGCUAAUACCGGAUAACAUGUUGAACCGCAUGGUUCAACAGUGAAAGACGGUCUUGCUGUCACUUAUAGAUGGAUCCGCGCCGCAUUAGCUAGUUGGUAAGGUAACGGCUUACCAAGGCAACGAUGCGUAGCCGACCUGAGAGGGUGAUCGGCCACACUGGAACUGAGACACGGUCCAGACUCCUACGGGAGGCAGCAGUAGGGAAUCUUCCGCAAUGGGCGAAAGCCUGACGGAGCAACGCCGCGUGAGUGAAGAAGGUCUUCGGAUCGUAAAACUCUGUUAUUAGGGAAGAACAAAUGUGUAAGUAACUAUGCACGUCUUGACGGUACCUAAUCAGAAAGCCACGGCUAACUACGUG